This 465-nucleotide ribosomal RNA is filed under the name uncultured bacterium. RNAcentral describes it as "partial 16S ribosomal RNA". It matches the Rfam family "Bacterial small subunit ribosomal RNA", at positions 28 to 507 of the family's 1533-position model. The record is from RNAcentral.
GACGAACGCUGGCGGCGUGCUUAACACAUGCAAGUCGAACGGAAAGGCCCUGCUUGCAGGGUACUCGAGUGGCGAACGGGUGAGUAACACGUGGGUGAUCUGCCCUGCACUUCGGGAUAAGCCUGGGAAACUGGGUCUAAUACCGGAUAGGAGCCAUUUUUAGUGUGAUGGUUGGAAAGUUUUUUCGGUGUAGGAUGAGCUCGCGGCCUAUCAGCUUGUUGGUGGGGUAAUGGCCUACCAAGGCGGCGACGGGUAGCCGGCCUGAGAGGGUGGACGGCCACAUUGGGACUGAGAGAAGGCCCAGACUCCUACGGGAGGGAGAAGUGGGGAAGAUUGAACAAUGGGCGCAAGCCGGAUGCAGCGACGCCGCGUGGGGGAUGACGGCCUUCGGGUUGUAAACUCCUUUCGCUAGGGACGAAGCUUUUUGUGACGGUACCUAGAUAAGAAGCACCGGCUAACUACGUG